Rhipicephalus sanguineus (brown dog tick) is the source of this 393-nucleotide long non-coding RNA. RefSeq lists it as uncharacterized. The record is from RefSeq and is a predicted model, not a curated record. Lineage: Eukaryota; Metazoa; Arthropoda; Arachnida; Ixodida; Ixodidae. The transcript is spliced from 4 exons.
GUCAUGACCAUAUAUGGUCAGAUUUGCCGGCAAGACGACGCGGCGACGCAUAUAAAAUUGGCUCUACCUGCUCCGCGGAUAAUUCGCUGGGAUCGUCUGCCGGGAAGUUACUCUGCUUGGCGGCUGCUUGGUCAUGCCGUCCGGAGUCAAGUACUACGGCAGCUACUGCUGCGCUGCGUGGUGCAACAACAACGGCAGGACAGGGAGAGAGCGUGGUACUAAGUGGUUCAGGAUUCCGCGAGACGACAGCCCAGUCUACCAGUCCAUUUGUGGCAUGUGAGAGCUUUGUUGACAUGAGGUCUGACCCGGAGAUCCUUCAUUCAUGACUGCAGUGAACCUUUCCCACCUUAUGGUUCACAGGGUCAAGGGGUAACCAAAGCGGCUUCCAGGAGA